This 495-nucleotide ribosomal RNA is filed under the name uncultured bacterium. RNAcentral's name for it is "partial 16S ribosomal RNA". It matches the Rfam family "Bacterial small subunit ribosomal RNA", at positions 29 to 507 of the family's 1533-position model. The record is from RNAcentral.
AUGAACGCUGGCGGCGUGCCUAAUACAUGCAAGUCGAGCGAACGGACGAGAAGCUUGCUUCUCUGAUGUUAGCGGCGGACGGGUGAGUAACACGUGGAUAACCUACCUAUAAGACUGGGAUAACUUCGGGAAACCGGAGCUAAUACCGGAUAAUAUUUUGAACCGCAUGGUUCAAAAGUGAAAGACGGUCUUGCUGUCACUUAUAGAUGGAUCCGCGCUGCAUUAGCUAGUUGGUAAGGUAACGGCUUACCAAGGCAACGAUGCAUAGCCGACCUGAGAGGGGAAUGGCCCCACCGGAAACUGGAACCGGUCCCGACUCCCUAGGGAGGCAGCAGGAGGGAAUUCUUCCGAAUUGGGCGAAAGCCGAAGGAGGAACGGCGGGUGGGGGAAGAAGGUCCUCGGGUCGGUAAACUCUUUUUAUAGGGAAAAAAAUAUGGUGAAGUUACUGUUGACCACUUGAAGGGAACUUAACAAGAAGGCACGGCUAACUACGUG